RNAcentral lists this non-coding RNA (198 nucleotides) under Bilophila wadsworthia. Lineage: Bacteria; Pseudomonadati; Thermodesulfobacteriota; Desulfovibrionia; Desulfovibrionales; Desulfovibrionaceae. The record is from RNAcentral.
GAACUGAUGCCUUGAAAGGUGGAAUGAUGGGGUAACGCCCUGAAACGCCUUCCCUGAUACUCCGGCAGGCGAUGGAUAGUGUUAUCUGUUCAUGGUCUGAAGCCCGGUGAAGCCGGCUGAGAGGAUGCCCUAACGUGUAAUGACGAGGAACGGCGAGCCAGAGGUGGCCGAGCAUCUGAUAGGCCGGGGGUCUAUAAA